Molecule: long non-coding RNA, 1690 nt
Filed under: Citrus sinensis (sweet orange)
Lineage: Eukaryota; Viridiplantae; Streptophyta; Magnoliopsida; Sapindales; Rutaceae
Description: long non-coding RNA (CSIN_LNC004236)
Source: RNAcentral
CAUGAUAUUAGAAUUGAGCAGAUUUUGAGAUAUGUUGAAUAGAAAGAAAAUGAGAUUUCAGAUGAGAUUCUAUGUUUAUGUAUAUGUUAUUUUUGAAAUCAUUAGACAGUACCCUUCCCUCCAGAUACAGAGAAACAGAUAAUAUGAGAUGAGAAAAGAGAUACAGACAAGAGAUACAGAUAAGAUGAGAUAGAGGCCUUUGGGGCCCGUCGGGACACACAUAGAGGCUUUGGGCCGUGUGUUCGGGCGCUUUUGCCUUUUGGGGGCUUAUGCAUGCACAGUACAGAUAUAUGAGAUAAGAGAUAUGAGAUAUGAGAUAUGAGAUGAGAUCGUCCCCAUCUAUCCGUUGUAGCUCCGGGGCGUGACGUUACCCAGAUAGUACGUCAUUGCCCGUCCGUCGAGAUCCGGAUAUGAUCAGAUUAUUCCCUGGGUACUUGUUUGAUGACAGUUUUUAGUAUUCAGUAUUUGAUAUGAUGAGUAUUAUAUGAUUCCAUCGAUUUUAUGCGAAUAUAUGUAUUAUAGUGUUUCAAUGAACUGAUUUGCAUUAAAUGAGUUUGAGCAAGUUCUUAUGAUAUUUUGAGAAAUUGAAAUUGAUUUGAGAAACAAUUUGAGAAAUUGAUUUGAGAAAGAUUAAAUCAUUUUAAAUAAAUUUAUUAAAUUGUCAGUAACUACUAUCCACUCACUGAGCUCACUGAGUUUUAUACUCACCCCUCUUUUAUUAUUUUAUAUUUUUCCCCCCACAGGAGAGUUACAGGUACAUCAGUCAACCCAGUAGCGAACGUUAGUGUGAUAUUGUGGCCACGUGAUGGUGCUAGGAGUCGUGGAUUUUCACUGUGAGUGGAAUAUACAAACCUAUUUUCAUAGUAUAUGCUGAUUUUAUGAUAAGUAUUUAAUGCUUCGAUUAAAUGAUUUUCCGGUAAAUUAAUUUUUAUCUAUGUGUCGGUCUUUAUUGUUAUUGAGAAUGAGUUUGAUUAAUGAUUUUAUUAGCGUUUUUGAGUAAAGGCAUGAUAUUAGAAUUGAGCAGAUUUUGAGAUAUGUUGAAUAGAAAGAAAAUGAGAUUUCGGAUGAGAUUCUAUGUUUAUGUAUAUGUUAUUUUUGAAAUCAUUAGACAGUACCCUUCCCUCCAGAUACAGAGAAACAGAUAAUAUGAGAUGAGAAAAGAGAUACAGACAAGAGAUACAGAUAAGAUGAGAUAGAGGCCUUUGGGGCCCGUCGGGACACACAUAGAGGCUUUGGGCCGUGUGUUCGGGCGCUUUUGCCUUUUGGGGGCUUAUGCAUGCACAGUACAGAUAUAUGAGAUAUGAGAUGAGAUCGUCCCCAUCUAUCCGUUGUAGCUCCGGGGCGUGACGCUACCCAGAUAGUACGUCAUUGCCCGUCCGUCGAGGUCCGGAUAUGAUCAGAUUAUCCCUUGGGUACUUGUUUGAUGACAGUUUUUAGUCUUCAGUAUUUGAUAUGAUGAGUAUUAUAUGAUUCCAUCGAUUUUAUGCGAAUAUAUGUAUUAUAGUGUUUCAAUGAACUGAUUUGCAUUAAAUGAGUUUGAGCAAGUUCUUAUGAUAUUUUGAGAAAUUGAAAUUGAUUUGAGAAACGAUUUGAGAAAUUGAUUUGAGAAAGAUUAAAUCAUUUUAAAUAAAUUUAUUAAAUUGUCAGUAACUACUAUCCACUCACUGAGCUCACUGAGUUUUAUACUCAC